UAGGGAAUCUUGCGCAAUGGGGGAAACCCUGACGCAGCGACGCCGCGUGAGCGAAGAAGGCCUUCGGGUUGUAAAGCUCUGUGGGGAGGGAAGAAUAAGGGCGGGUUAAUACCCCGUCUGAUGACGGUACCUCUUUAGCAAGCACCGGCUAACUCUGUGCCAGCAGCCGCGGUAAGACAGAGGGUGCAAACGUUGUUCGGAAUUACUGGGCGUAAAGCGAGUGUAGGCGGCCAUGCAAGUCGGGUGUGAAAUCCCGGGGCUCAACCCCGGACGUGCAUUCGAAACUGCGUGGCUAGAGUCCCGGAGAGGAAGGCGGAAUGCUUGGUGUAGAGGUGAAAUUCGUAGAUAUCAAGCAGAACACCUGUGGCGAAGGCGGCCUUCUGGACGGUGACUGACGCUGAGACUCGAAAGCGUGGGGAGCAAACAGG
Molecule: ribosomal RNA, 428 nt
Filed under: uncultured bacterium
Lineage: Bacteria
Description: bacterial SSU rRNA
Rfam family: Bacterial small subunit ribosomal RNA
Source: RNAcentral